Molecule: ribosomal RNA, 253 nt
Filed under: uncultured bacterium
Lineage: Bacteria
Description: partial 16S ribosomal RNA
Rfam family: Bacterial small subunit ribosomal RNA
Source: RNAcentral
UACGAAGGGGGCUAGCGUUGCUCGGAAUCACUGGGCGUAAAGGGUGCGUAGGCGGGUCUUUAAGUCAGGGGUGAAAUCCUGGAGCUCAACUCCAGAACUGCCUUUGAUACUGAGGAUCUUGAGUCCGGGAGAGGUGAGUGGAACUGCGAGUGUAGAGGUGAAAUUCGUAGAUAUGACAUAGAACACCAAUUGCGAAGGCAGCUCACUACUCAAUCAUUGACGCUGAGGCACGAAAGCGUGGGGAUCAAACAGG